Molecule: long non-coding RNA, 2389 nt
Filed under: Mus musculus (house mouse)
Lineage: Eukaryota; Metazoa; Chordata; Mammalia; Rodentia; Muridae
Description: long non-coding RNA chr4:9398586-9400975
Source: RNAcentral
GUGCUUUCUGUUGGGAGCAUGCAGAAUAAAAGUCUUUAUCAGUCUCAGGAAAGGCUUUCUGUUGGGAGCAUGCAGAAUAAAAGUCUUUAUCAGUCUCAGGAAAGGCUUGAAUCUGUCGGAGAUAUUCAGGUAUUGAAAGUGGAUUGGUUUUUUUUUUUUUUUUUUUUUUUUUUUACUUUGACAUUUUUAUUUUGAGGAAGAUAGGGUUGCUGAAGAUCUAACCCAGCGCCCAGGUCUACAAGGCAAGUGCUGUACAGCUAAGCUCCACCUGCCGCUCACAGGAAUAGUUUCUCAUUUGAGACAUGCCAUGUGUGUGUGAGCUGGCCUCAGUUCUGGCUACAAGAUUAUUUUUCCCAGCUUGGCUUUUUGUUUUCUUUUGAGAAGCCUUUUAGUCAGAUUUUAAGAUCUCCAAAAAUAUAGAAGUUUAUGGUCAAUAUUCUAACUAAAAGUUAAGUGAAACAAACAAAAAAACAACAAGAAAACUCAAACAAAUAAUGCCCCACCCACCAGACCCUUAAGGGUCUUCUAACAGUGUUAUUGAAUCUCACUGAGAAUGUACAUCUGCAAAUUGAGCUCACCUGCCAGAAUGACAAGAAUCAGAGGGCAGUACUGAGUGGCUACUGCAGGCCUCACAUUGAAAUGUGUGAUGCUUUUGCAGAGUGUAAAAUUCGUGGGAUCUACUAUCAGAGGAAUUGGGUAUCCAGAGGAGAUGAAAGCAUGGAUUUAAUAGAUGUGCAACUGAAAAUUACAUUAAGGAUGUUAAAGAAAAGAAUGCAAACAGUACACUUUGAUAUAUAUUUUUUAAUUGCCUUAACUGUUUUUAGUCUGUUAGACUGGGUUGUUUGGACUAAUGCUUCAACUACUUCCUUUCUAAGGCCUAAGGCUUAGCUUUUCACCUUAAAACAUAAUGUACAGAAGUUCUUCUGAAGAGAUAUCACCUUAAAUAGAAACAGGGUAUAUAUGGGAUAGAAAUAAAACCCUGUAACAAUCACAUAGUGAGUUCAAAGACUAGGAGAGAGAGAAAGAAAGAGAGAGAGAGAGAGAGACAGAGAGAGACAGACAGACAGACAGACAGACAGAGACAGAGACAGAGAGACAGACAGAGAGAAUAUUGCUCUGUAGCCUUGGUUAUACAUUCAGAAGUGAGCAAUAUCUUUAAAGACCUUGCCCAACUGUCCUCAGUCAGUAGGACAAGUAGACUGAAAGCAGAGUGGGGUUCUGGGCCCUGGCUCUGGCAUACUCACACACAUUCACUGAAGCAAAAGACAGCAUUCGAGUAAAGGAAAUUGAGAGGACAAAACUGGUUACUGGAGUCUGAUUUUCUCUCAUCCCUUCCAUGAUUGCACCCUGUGGUGGUGAAUGGCCCCCGUUGGAUAGCUGGGCACUCCAUGACAUCAGUCCUGGCAGCUUUUCCUGGCCUUCAACAACAGUGAUUAUCCUUGUAGGAAAACCAUUUCUAUAAGGGUUAUAACAAAGCGCCAUGCCUCACACGGGUCUUCCCUUUUUCCUGGCCCCAGCCUAUAGUGGAAUCCACCUACUGACCCAGUCUCUGAUUCCCCAUCUGAGGCUGUGCCAGGAAACAAGCACUUAUGUCACUAUUAACUAAGGUCAUCCCAACUCUCAAACUCAUCUGAUGAGUUACCUUCAGCAGUAAUAUACAUUCUUAAGGCCAAGCCAUAUAGAACACCAGAGAAUUCACAGAGCAUUUUAAACUAAGGACACUUACCAGCUUACUCAAAACAAGUUAGUUAGAACUUUUCUAGGGCAGUACAAGCAUAGAAACACUCUAAAGGGACUUCUCCAUUCAGAGGGUAUCUGCUUUCUUUUGCACUUACCUGGAAAGCAUCACUCCAAAUGUCAUCUGGACAGUGUUAUGUAAUAGUGCUCACAAUUAUCUAUUCAUUGAAGGAAUGACUGCUAAUGAAGAGUGUGUCCUAAUUCAGACUAGUGACAUGUUAGAAAAUAUGUGAAUAAUUUGGGAGUGGGCAAAUCUUUAAAUGAAACGCUGCCUACUAUCUGCAAGGUUUUGAGGACCACAUACACAAGCACACGCGCACACACACACACACCACACACACAUACCAAUACAUAUACAUAUCACACAUAUAUGUCACACAAACACACCCCAUACUACACACACAUGCACAUAAGUACACACACCACUACACAUACUACACGCAUACCUCAAAUGUACAUCAUAUCCACCCAAACACCACACACACACACACACACACACACACACACACACGUGUCUACAGUUUUAAACCGUUUGAAAACAAAUUAUCUGUCCUCCCAGUUUCAUAAAAUGAUAAUUUUUCUAAUAUAUAUACAGAUUGUAUAUAGGUUCUUAAUCUAUUAUCAAUUCAACACACACACAUAAACACACACC